Molecule: ribosomal RNA, 253 nt
Filed under: uncultured bacterium
Lineage: Bacteria
Description: partial 16S ribosomal RNA
Rfam family: Bacterial small subunit ribosomal RNA
Source: RNAcentral
UACGGGGGGGGCAAGCGUUGUUCGGAAUUACUGGGCGUAAAGGGCUCGUAGGCGGCCAACUAAGUCAGACGUGAAAUCCCCGGGCUCAACCUGGGAAUUGCAUUCGAAACUGCGAGGCUAGGGUACGGAAGAGGGAAGCGGAAUUUCUGGUGUAGCGGUGAAAUGCGUAGAUAUCAGAAGGAACAUCAGUGGCGAAAGCGGCUUCCUGGUCCAGUACCGACGUUCAGGCACGAAAGCGUGGGGAGCAAACAGG